GGGCCCGCACAAGCGGUGGAGCAUGUGGUUUAAUUCGACGCUACGCGAAGAACCUUACCAGGGUUUGACAUUCAGAGGGAGCAUGCAGAGAUGUAUGCGUCCGGGCAACCGGACUUCUGGACAGGUGCUGCAUGGCUGUCGUCAGCUCGUGCCGUGAGGUGUUGGGUUAAGUCCCGCAACGAGCGCAACCCUUAUCCUUAGUUGCCAUCGGGUUAAGCUGGGAACUCUGAGGAGACUGCCGGAGUUAAUCCGGAGGAAGGUGGGGAUGACGUCAAGUCAGCAUGGCCCUUACGUCCUGGGCUACACACGUGCUACAAUGGCCGGUACAACGGGCAGCUAAAGAGCAAUCUGGAGCGAAUCCCUUAAAACCGGUCUCAGUUCGGAUUGGAGGCUGCAAUUCGCCUCCAUGAAGUCGGAAUCGCUAGUAACCGCAGAUCAGCUACGCUGUGGUGAAUACGUUCCCGGGCCUU
RNAcentral lists this ribosomal RNA (470 nucleotides) under uncultured bacterium. Its description in RNAcentral is "bacterial SSU rRNA". It matches the Rfam family "Bacterial small subunit ribosomal RNA", at positions 917 to 1382 of the family's 1533-position model. The record is from RNAcentral.